UAUGUAUUUAUUUUAUUUUAUUUUUUGAGUAGGAAUCUCACUCUGUUGCCCAGGCCAGAGUGCAGUGGCACACU
This 74-nucleotide small nucleolar RNA is filed under the name Carlito syrichta (Philippine tarsier). RNAcentral describes it as "Small nucleolar RNA Me28S-Am2634 (ENSTSYG00000025796.1)". Lineage: Eukaryota; Metazoa; Chordata; Mammalia; Primates; Tarsiidae. The record is from RNAcentral.